AGAGCGAACGCUGGCGGCAGGCUUAACACAUGCAAGUCGAGCGGGCGUAGCAAUACGUCAGCGGCAGACGGGUGAGUAACGCGUGGGAACAUACCUUUUGGUUCGGAACAACACAGGGAAACUUGUGCUAAUACCGGAUAAGCCCUUACGGGGAAAGAUUUAUCGCCGAAAGAUUGGCCCGCGUCUGAUUAGCUAGUUGGUGAGGUAACGGCUCACCAAGGCGACGAUCAGUAGCUGGUCUGAGAGGAUGAUCAGCCACAUUGGGACUGAGACACGGCCCAAACUCCUACGGGAGGCAGCAGUGGGGAAUAUUGGACAAUGGGCGCAAGCCUGAUCCAGCCAUGCCGCGUGGAUGAUGAAGGCCUUAGGGUUGUAAAGUCCUUUUAACGGGGAAGUAUAAUGACGGUACCCGUAGAAUAAGCCCCGGCUAACUCGCGCCAGCAGCCGC
Molecule: ribosomal RNA, 448 nt
Filed under: uncultured bacterium
Lineage: Bacteria
Description: SSU rRNA
Rfam family: Bacterial small subunit ribosomal RNA
Source: RNAcentral